Molecule: transfer RNA, 73 nt
Filed under: marine sediment metagenome
Description: tRNA-Asn
Rfam family: tRNA
About the family: Transfer RNA (tRNA) molecules are approximately 80 nucleotides in length.
Source: RNAcentral
UGCACCGUAGUUCCAAUGGUAGAACGACUGACUGUUAAUCAGGGUGUUACAGGUUCGAGUCCUGUCGGUGCAG